RNAcentral lists this ribosomal RNA (396 nucleotides) under uncultured microorganism. Its description in RNAcentral is "bacterial SSU rRNA". It matches the Rfam family "Bacterial small subunit ribosomal RNA", at positions 9 to 402 of the family's 1533-position model. The record is from RNAcentral.
GAGUUUGAUCGUGGCUCAGGAUGAACGCUGGCGGCGUGCUUAACACAUGCAAGUCGAACGGAAAGGCCCUUGCUUGCAAGGGUGGCUUGAGUGGCGAACGGGUGAGUAACACGUAGGUGAUCUGCCUUUCACUUCGGGAUAAGCUUGGGAAACUGGGUCUAAUACCGGAUAUUCACGGCACCGUGGUUGGUGUGGUGGAAAGCUUUUGCGGUGGGAGGAUGAGCUUGCGGCCUAUCAGCUUGUUGGUGGGGUAAUGGCCUACCAAGGCGGCGACGGGUAGCCGGCCUGAGAGGGUGUGCGGCCACAUUGGGACUGAGAUACGGCCCAGACUCCUACGGGAGGCAGCAGUGGGGAAUUUUGCACAAUGGGCGGAAGCCUGAUGCAGCGACGCCGUGU